Molecule: ribosomal RNA, 270 nt
Filed under: uncultured bacterium
Lineage: Bacteria
Description: partial 16S ribosomal RNA
Rfam family: Bacterial small subunit ribosomal RNA
Source: RNAcentral
AUCCUACGGGGCGCAGCAGUGGGGGAUAUUGGACAAUGGGGGGAACCCUGAUCCAGCGACGCCGCGUGAGUGAAGAAGUAUUUCGGUAUGUAAGGCUCUGUCAGCAGGGAAGAAAGAAAUGACGGUACCUGACCAAGAAGCCCCGGCUAACUACGUGCCAGCAGCCGCGGUAAUACGUAAGGGGCAAGCGUUAUCCGGAAUUACUGGGUGUAAAGGGAGCGUAGACGGUGGAGCAAGUCUGAUGUGAAAAUCCGGGUCCCAACCCCGGAA